RNAcentral lists this ribosomal RNA (225 nucleotides) under Lacrimispora xylanolytica. RNAcentral describes it as "[Clostridium] xylanolyticum partial 16S ribosomal RNA". It matches the Rfam family "Bacterial small subunit ribosomal RNA", at positions 86 to 311 of the family's 1533-position model. Lineage: Bacteria; Bacillati; Bacillota; Clostridia; Lachnospirales; Lachnospiraceae. The record is from RNAcentral.
AAUGACUUAGCGGCGGACGGGUGAGUAACGCGUGGGUAACCUGCCUCAUACAGGGGGAUAACAGUUAGAAAUGACUGCUAAUACCGCAUAAGCGCACAGUGCUGCAUAGUACAGUGUGAAAAACUCCGGUGGUAUGAGAUGGACCCGCGUCUGAUUAGGUAGUUGGUGAGGUAACGGCCCACCAAGCCGACGAUCAGUAGCCGACCUGAGAGGGUGACCGGCCAC